Molecule: ribosomal RNA, 253 nt
Filed under: uncultured bacterium
Lineage: Bacteria
Description: partial 16S ribosomal RNA
Rfam family: Bacterial small subunit ribosomal RNA
Source: RNAcentral
UACGUAGGAGGCAAGCGUUGUCCGGAAUCAUUGGGCGUAAAGAGCGUGUAGGCGGCCAGACAGGUCCGUUGUGAAAACUCGAGGCUCAACCUCGAGACGCCGAUGGAAACCGUCUGGCUAGAGUCCGGAAGAGGAGAGUGGAAUUCCUGGUGUAGCGGUGAAAUGCGCAGAUAUCAGGAAGAACACCGGUGGCGAAGGCGGGUCUCUGGGCAACAACUGACGCUGAGGAGCGAAAGCGUGGGGAGCGAACAGG